AACGCACAUUGCGCCCCUGGUAUUCCGGGGGGCAUGCCUGUUCGAGCGUCAUUUCACCACUCAAGCCUUCGCUUGGUCUUGGGGUACCCGGCUCCGGGGCUCCUAAAAUCAGUGGCGGUGCCGGCCGGCCCUGCGCGUAGUACUUUCUCGCGUCUGGGCCCGGGCGGCGGCCUGCCAGCACAACCCCCUUCUCUCCAGGUUGACCUCGGAUCAGGUAGGGAUGCCCGCUGAACUUAA
This 237-nucleotide unclassified non-coding RNA is filed under the name Yunnania sp. RNAcentral describes it as "partial contains 5.8S ribosomal RNA, internal transcribed spacer 2, and large subunit ribosomal RNA". Lineage: Eukaryota; Fungi; Ascomycota; Sordariomycetes; Microascales; Microascaceae. The record is from RNAcentral.